CAGGCUGAAACUACGCCUGCAUGAAGCUGGAAUUGCUAGUAAUCAUAGGUCAGCAUACUAUGGUGAAUACGUUCCCGGGCCUUGUACACACCGCCCGUCACACCAUGAGAGUUGAGAAUACCCGAAGUCCAUGUCAAAGUGGCCGAAGGUAGGCUUGAUGAUUGGGGUGAAGUCGUAACAAGGUAUC
RNAcentral lists this ribosomal RNA (187 nucleotides) under uncultured bacterium. RNAcentral's name for it is "partial 16S ribosomal RNA". It matches the Rfam family "Bacterial small subunit ribosomal RNA", at positions 1301 to 1500 of the family's 1533-position model. The record is from RNAcentral.